AAAAAAAAUACAAAAAC
RNAcentral lists this small RNA (17 nucleotides) under Arabidopsis thaliana (thale cress). RNAcentral describes it as "ATSL093860". The record is from RNAcentral. Lineage: Eukaryota; Viridiplantae; Streptophyta; Magnoliopsida; Brassicales; Brassicaceae.